UCAUUGGAUAAGCGUUUUAAAGGCAUUGAGGAGAAACCUUUUUAUAUAGUGGUGACACUGUUUGAUCCAUAAUUUCAAACUAAACUCUUCUCAUUACAGGCAACACUGACAGGUGAAAAAGCAAGAUUGAAGUCAAUGAGCAUGCUGAGCAGUAGAUUAACUUCUGAGCAUGAGAUUACAGAUUUUAUCAAUUUCUUUGCAACUGCCGCCUGGUGACAACAUUUUUGUGAAGACCUUCAUAGCUUGUCAAGGAGUGAUUUUAUGGUUUGGCGCCAGAACCAUCCUGUGCCUAAAUCAAAAUGGAUCUUUUGUAUGGAAGAAUGCCUAGAAUAAAGACAAAGACUUUCCUAAAUUUAAACCUCAGCUUACUAGUGGCUGAAAGGAUAGCAGAAAAGGUGGUAAAAGGAAUGGCAAAAAAAAAAAAGCAUUUGUAACCACUUAUCUGUUAAUCUAUAUAUACACUUAUCAAAAUAUGUAUGUAGAUACAUAUAUAGGUAUAUCUACAUCAACUAUUGGUAGGUGUAUGUAUAAUGUGUAUACAUAUAAUUUUUUAUAAGUUUGUAUUUGCAUAUAGUCUUUUUGUGUAUUAAGUUCAACCCAACCCAAGGUAUAGCAAUCACAUUUAAUG
This is a non-coding RNA of Hydra vulgaris (swiftwater hydra), 628 nucleotides long. NCBI's taxonomy places the organism in Eukaryota, Metazoa, Cnidaria, Hydrozoa, Anthoathecata, Hydridae. The record is from RefSeq and is a predicted model, not a curated record.